GACGAACGCUGGCGGCGUGCUUAACACAUGCAAGUCGAACGCUGAAGCUCAGCUUUUGUUGGGUGGAUGAGUGGCGAACGGGUGAGUAACACGUGAGUAACCUGCCCCCUUCUUUGGGAUAACGCCCGGAAACGGGUGCUAAUACUGGAUAUUCACUGGUCUUCGCAUGGGGGUUGGUGGAAAGGGUUUUUCUGGUGGGGGAUGGGCUCGCGGCCUAUCAGCUUGUUGGUGGGGUGAUGGCCUACCAAGGCUUUGACGGGUAGCCGGCCUGAGAGGGUGACCGGUCACAGUGGGACUGAGAUACGGCCCAGACUCCUACGGGAGGCAGCAGUGGGGAAUAUUGCACAAUGGGCGCAAGCCUGAUGCAGCGACGCCGCGUGAGGGAUGGAGGCCUUCGGGUUGUGAACCUCUUUCGCUCAUGGUCAAGCCGCAACAAUGGUUGUGGUGAGGGUAGUGGGUAAAGAAGCGCCGGCUAACUACGUG
This 483-nucleotide ribosomal RNA is filed under the name uncultured bacterium. Its description in RNAcentral is "partial 16S ribosomal RNA". It matches the Rfam family "Bacterial small subunit ribosomal RNA", at positions 28 to 507 of the family's 1533-position model. The record is from RNAcentral.